Anopheles stephensi (Asian malaria mosquito) is the source of this 1068-nucleotide long non-coding RNA. RefSeq lists it as uncharacterized. The transcript is spliced from 3 exons. Lineage: Eukaryota; Metazoa; Arthropoda; Insecta; Diptera; Culicidae. The record is from RefSeq and is a predicted model, not a curated record.
UUUCGUGUCAGUGUGGUUGGGGUUUUUACAAGUGCAGUUUUCCUGCACGGAAGCGAACAAAGCAACACCCACUGUCCACCCAUGGGUCGGUUGUCCUGGAAAAGUAUUUAGUUGGAAAAUGUUUGUUGCUUAUCAGGCAGGCUUCGAGAUGCAGAGUUUUGAUACAGAUUCUUCCUGGAAGUAAUGGCAUGUAUGUGAAUCGUUUGCUGAAACUCUCGAAGAAUAAAACUCGUAAGAAGAAGCCCAUUUUCCUACAACAUGCACGAGAAACAUGCCGAACCAUUUCGCAACGAGCUUAACCGAUCCGGUGGAACAGACACAACGGUGAAGUAGGCAAUGAAACAGAGGCAAACAUUAAAUUCCUUCACGCAACUGUGGCAGCAGAAGUGGAAAACAAGUCGUAUUAAAAGGAUUGAACAAAUUAAUGGUUGAUACUACACAACUCGUUUCGGUUGUUUUUGGGGAUGAGGUCACAAGAAACUGGAGAGUGUAAUGAGUGCCCGAGCGGCAUUUCAUCCCGGCAGGCAUCUUCGAGAAAGGAAACCUUGCAUGACGACCUUCAGCCGAUGAUGGGGAGCGACGGGAAGCAGGGGUGACGGCCGGGACGGGUAGGGAUUUGUGGGUGCCUUCAUACCGUUAAGGAAGCGCCCCGGAACAAUUGAGCCCGUGCUGAAGCCGUACGAAUUACAUAUCUUUAAUUUAUCUUCCAUCCAAUAUCGUCUUCACCAUCGGACGGGCCUUCGUGUCCGUAUUUCAUGCUGGAUAAAAGCUGCUUAUGGUAAUGGGGGGGCCGUUACGUUGCGAAGGUUGCGUGGCUGGGACGGGCUGGCACGGGUGGAUCACGUAGGACCCAUGUGCGAUUUGCCUUUCAGCGCUGAAGGACGAAAAACGAGGCGCACGUCACCGGGGCUUUGCCUGCGAGGGAAAUCGUUUAUCUUCUUUUAUUUGAUUACUUUUCCUUCGCCCAAAUGCCCUACAGAAGGGCUGGAGAGGAAGGUUUGAACGAUUUGAAGUAACGCUGCUUUAAGAAAAAAGGAGUUGGAAGGCUCGAAUGUUUCGUUUGGGUUU